CUUAUUGGGCCCCGCCUUCAAGAAUUUGGGCUUUUGUGACUCGUAUCAUUCCCCCCUUCCUCAAAAAGAUUCGUCCUCGAAUCUGAAAAAUCAAAUGAACUCGACUUUCCUCUAUCGAACGGGACUAAUGGCAAUUGAGUCCACUGAGAAGAAUAGCCAUGAGAUAGUAAAUAGUAACGGAAAUAAGCUUGUAGUCCAAUCAUAAGCAUAAUAGAAUAGGUAUAACGCAUGUGAAUGGACAGAUUCAGAUUACCAUGCAAACAAUCUAAUUUACUCACCACUGCCUCGUCAAAUAUUUGAAACAAAGAUGGACAUGUUUUAAGGCAUUCAGUCGUCUCACAUUGUUCCCACAAACCAUGAAUAAAUUGCGAGUAAUAAAUCAAAUGGUAAACAUAAUC
This 398-nucleotide long non-coding RNA is filed under the name Gossypium barbadense (sea-island cotton). RNAcentral describes it as "long non-coding RNA (GBAR_LNC000480)". The record is from RNAcentral. Lineage: Eukaryota; Viridiplantae; Streptophyta; Magnoliopsida; Malvales; Malvaceae.